RNAcentral lists this small RNA (124 nucleotides) under Marmota monax (woodchuck). Lineage: Eukaryota; Metazoa; Chordata; Mammalia; Rodentia; Sciuridae. The record is from RNAcentral.
GCCAGGCAUGGUGACGCACUCCUGUAAUCCAAGCAGCUUGGGAGCUGAGGCAGGAGGAUCACCAGUUCAAAGCCAGCCUCAGCAAAAGCGAGGCACUAAGCAAUUCAGUGAGACCCUGUCUCCA